Molecule: ribosomal RNA, 253 nt
Filed under: uncultured bacterium
Lineage: Bacteria
Description: partial 16S ribosomal RNA
Rfam family: Bacterial small subunit ribosomal RNA
Source: RNAcentral
UACGAAGGGGGCUAGCGUUGCUCGGAAUCACUGGGCGUAAAGCGCACGUAGGCGGAUUGUUAAGUCAGGGGUGAAAUCCUGGAGCUCAACUCCAGAACUGCCUUUGAUACUGGCGAUCUCGAGUCCGGGAGAGGUGAGUGGAACUGCGAGUGUAGAGGUGAAAUUCGUAGAUAUUCGCAAGAACACCAGUGGCGAAGGCGGCUCACUGGCCCGGUACUGACGCUGAGGCACGAAAGCGUGGGGAGCGAACAGG